Molecule: long non-coding RNA, 208 nt
Organism: Glycine soja
Lineage: Eukaryota; Viridiplantae; Streptophyta; Magnoliopsida; Fabales; Fabaceae
Exons: 3
Source: RefSeq, a predicted model, not a curated record
CAGGUCCUUUUUUGGCAACUCAAGAGGAGAGGGAGUUAAUUCUUCUUGUGAAGUUGCCUUAAUUAUGUACAACUUCAAUCCUAGAUUUGGUAGUAAAGUCCAACAUAUCAAUUGGACAAAAAAUGUGGAACAGUUUUUAGGCGUUCUACCGAAUUUACCUUUCAACGGAGAUAAUUUAAAUCAACAUACCAUUGUAGAAGGUUUGGCA